ACAAUCCAAAACAGUCUAAAAUGACACUGCAACUGUGAUUCUCUUUCAAGAACUUAUUAUAAUUUUCAAGUUUUACUUUUAUUUAUCAUUUGAUAUAUUUGUACCUUCAAUAAAUGUCAAAAAAAAAUGAUGAUGGCUUUGAUAUUUUGGGAUCACCCCUGUUUCACAUUAUGAUUGCCCCUUCAGUUAUACUGUUGAAAAAUUUGAAUCUCAGACAUUAAUGGGUCAAGUGGUUAUAGUUGGAAAUAGUGCAAACCUGGAUUUAUUUAAAGCAAUUAUGGAGAUAUCUUGUUUUAUUAAUGUUAGGGAGCAUAUUUUGGAAUUUUCAAAAAAAACAUUUAUCUAAGUGUGACAAGAUUCAGGAAAUGUUUGGUUGUUGUAAUUGAACCUAAAGAUCAAUGACCUGGGACAGGAAGAUAAACAAAAGAAACAAGAUAGUUAAAAUGUUCAGAGUCAGCUAGUAAGCAAGUUUGCAGGACUGUUCCAAACUAUCCAGCUUUGCUGUGUUUUAUCAUAGUAUAAAGCAGAGGAAUAUAAUGGAAUGUCAUUGGCAUUGGCACCUUCAAAGUCAAGUGAUUAAGGAAGCCAACUGUAGACCAGGAAAGGCUUCAAGGAAUAUACUACAGAAUUGUAUCCUGGAGCAUUUUCCACAUGUGACCCCUGUGAUGGUGAGGGAAAAACUAAGGGACACUUUAAAAUCAUGGAGAGUGAACAGGAAUUCAAAAGAUAGAUAUUUGAAUACAUUAAAAUAUAGCCGGAUACCAAAAAAUUAUAACUGAACAUUGAUUGUAAUAUUUACCAUUAAAGACUAUAACUAACUUAA
Molecule: long non-coding RNA, 823 nt
Organism: Ruditapes philippinarum (Manila clam)
Lineage: Eukaryota; Metazoa; Mollusca; Bivalvia; Venerida; Veneridae
Exons: 3
Source: RefSeq, a predicted model, not a curated record